This 433-nucleotide ribosomal RNA is filed under the name uncultured bacterium. Its description in RNAcentral is "partial 16S ribosomal RNA". It matches the Rfam family "Bacterial small subunit ribosomal RNA", at positions 29 to 507 of the family's 1533-position model. The record is from RNAcentral.
AACGAACGCUGGCGGCAUGCCUAACACAUGCAAGUCGAACGAGACCUUCGGGUCUAGUGGCGCACGGGUGCGUAACGCGUGGGAACCUGCCCUUAGGUUCGGAAUACCUCCCCGAAAGGGGUGCUAAUACCGGUUAAGGUCUUCGGACCAAAGAUUUAUCGCUUUUGGAUGGGCCCGCGUUGGAUUAGCCAGUUGGUAGGGUAAAAGCCUACCAAGGCGACGAUCCAUAGCUGGUCUGAGAGGAUGAUCAGCCACACUGGGACUGAGACACGGCCCAGACUCCUACGGGAGGGAGCAGUGGGGAAUAUUGGACGAUGGGCGAAAGCCUGAUCCAGCAAUGCCGCGUGAGUGAUGAAGGCCUUAGGGUUGUAAAGCUCUUUUACCCGGGAUGAUAAUGACAGUACCGGGAGAAUAAGCUCCGGCUAACUCCGUG